Molecule: ribosomal RNA, 397 nt
Filed under: uncultured bacterium
Lineage: Bacteria
Description: partial 16S ribosomal RNA
Rfam family: Bacterial small subunit ribosomal RNA
Source: RNAcentral
AUACGUAGGGGGCGAGCGUUGUCCGGAAUGAUUGGGCGUAAAGGGCGCGUAGGCGGCCUGUUAAGUCUGGAGUGAAAGUCCUGUUUUCAAGAUGGGAAUUGCUUUGGAUACUGAUGGGCUUGAGUGCAGGAGAGGUUAUCGGAAUUCCCGGUGUAGCGGUGAAAUGCGUAGAGAUCGGGAGGAACACCAGUGGCGAAGGCGGGUAACUGGACUGCAACUGACGCUGAGGCGCGUAAGUGUGGGGAGCAAACAGGAUUAGAUACCCUGGUAGUCCACACUGUAAACGAUGAAUGCUAGGUGUAAGAGGUAUCGACCCCUUUUGUGCCGGAGUUAACACAAUAAGCAUUCCGCCUGGGGAGUACGGCCGCAAGGUUGAAACUCAAAGGAAUUGACGGGG